UUAAUUUAGGUGUGAAAUGUUUAUCGUUUUUAUUGAUAUCUAGUAACUUUAGAAAUAAAUUUAGUUUAGAUUUUUAAGGAGUUAUUGCUCUUUUUAAGAUUUUAGAUUUUAAGGGAUAAGCUUUAAAAUUAAUUUAAAAGGAAAGUGGUUUUUGAGUUUUUUUGUAGGCUUGGAAUUAGCCAUUGGAUAGUGUUAUAAAAUAAAGUAAUUGGUGUAGGAUUUAAUUUUCUUUUUUAAUUAUAAAGUUAAUUAAUAAACUAUUUUAAUAGUGUAAAUAUGAUAAUAUAAGUAGAAGAAAAGAUGAAAUUUUUUUUGUAUUAAGUGAUUUAAAGUUUAUAAUAAAAGAACUCGGCAAAUAAGAUUUCCGAAUGUUUAACAAAAACAUUUCCUCUUAAUUAUGGGAGGUAAGACCUGCUCACUGAAAAUUUAAAGAGCCGCAGUAUUUUAACUGUGCUAAGGUAGCAUAAUCAUUAGUCUUUUAAUUGGAGACUGGUAUGAAUGGUUAAACGAGAAAUCAGCUUUUUUUGUUAUAAGAUUCGAAUUUAAUUUUUUAGUGAAAAAGCUAGAAUUUUUCAGAAAGACGAGAAGACCCUAUAGAGUUUUAUAAUUUUUUUAAUUUUUUUUUAAUUAGAUUUUUUAGAUAGAAAUUUAAGGAAUUAUUUUGUUGGGGCGACAUUUAGAUAAAAAAAACUCUUAAUUUUUUGAACUUUAAUAAAAGAAUAGAUUGAUCCUUUGAAAAAAGAUUAAAAGAUAAAAUUACCUUAGGSAUAACAGCGUAAUCUUUUUUGAGAGUUCUUAUCGACAAAAAGGUUUGCGACCU
Molecule: ribosomal RNA, 820 nt
Filed under: Hexelasma sp. 2 BKKC-2017
Lineage: Eukaryota; Metazoa; Arthropoda; Thecostraca; Balanomorpha; Bathylasmatidae
Description: partial 16S ribosomal RNA
Rfam family: Archaeal large subunit ribosomal RNA (bases 360-516)
Source: RNAcentral